This is a long non-coding RNA of Tribolium castaneum (red flour beetle), 929 nucleotides long. RefSeq lists it as uncharacterized. The record is from RefSeq and is a predicted model, not a curated record. The transcript is spliced from 3 exons. Lineage: Eukaryota; Metazoa; Arthropoda; Insecta; Coleoptera; Tenebrionidae.
AAGAAGUUGACCUUGACGGGAGCUUUCAACAAUUUAUAUAAUUGCAGGGAGUGCAUGUAGAAAUUCAUUCUGUGUUGUACAGGUAGUCUGUGUACGAAACAAUAUGUUCAAAUUAUUUUGCUAAUUUUAAACCGUGUACCCAUGGUGACGAGUGUUCUCAGUGUCCCGGUCCCUCAACUAGGACAACUGAAAUGCAUCACUGUGAAAACUGUAAUAAACAACUCACAACCCGUCAAUCACGACUACGCCACGAAAAGCUCUAUUGUCAAAUGGUCAAAAAACAAGAAAAUGGAGGACCUGCCGCCAAAAAACAGAAAAUAUCUCAUACAACUGCUAGCAACAAUUAUAUGUGCGUUACAUGUAAUCAAGAAAUUGCUCCAAAGCUUAUUACGGCCCAUGAGAGAAGUAGACAGCAUAGAAAUAAUUGUCAAAGUACUCCCUUGGAGGAUGGGGUGUUUGCACUCAGCAGUGCAUUUAAAUCACGCAUCGCUUCAUACAGGGUUAUUCAUAUUUGUGCGACAAAAAAUGAACCUCAAAAAGGACCUAUAAAAUGAUGCUAAUUGAGAUUAUAAGUCGUGUCCUAUCGAAACUGAUAAGAAUUUUACAGCCCUGGGAAGUAGGGGUAUGGAAAGACGUUUUUGCACCAUAACUUUGGAAUCAUUUAGCCAAAUAUUACAAAACUUGGUAGACUUACUAAAGAGAACAUGCCUUUUAAUCUGGUAAUUAUGAAAACCGGAUACAUCCUCCCAGUUUCCGGUUGCAGCAUUUCCGGGUCACAUUUUUUGUGUUUUUCUAAUUUUUUGUCCUCUUAACACUACUUUUUUAUUGCCUAAAUCGAUAGAGUAAUCAAUUGCGAAUAAAAAAGGUAUAACCUUUUACAUCGCUAAAAUGCACCAUUUAAUAGUUAUUUUAGUUUAAACAGAGGCAUG